UUCAAAAGGGUGGACGCUGGACGUCGGAGAGGGGAGAGGAGUGGCUUGGCUGAGGAGACGGCGGAUGACUCAGAAGGGGGACGGACAGAUGGGAGGAAGUAGCCCAGGAGGCAUUCGGAGCCUGUGGGUUGAUGCCAUAGCAGAGUAACCCGUUCAGCAGCAACGUAUUAUGGCAAUCAUAGCAAACAUCUUGUGCCUUAUGCUGCAAUAUGCCAAGAGCCUAUCCAAGGCCUGCUGGAAGGAGGAAGAAUCUGAGGCGGCCAGGAACAGACUGUUGUGUGAAGUACUUGAGUGGGAACAGCAGCCAGCUCACUGCGUACUCCCCUGGCUCUAGCAAUUGGCACAGAUCCACAGGUGAAAACGGACAAGGGAGGAUACGUUCAAGGAGCAAAUGGAUAGAAUGAAGAUGCUCCUGGAUGAGAUGUGGGCAGAGCACCAGGACAGGAUCAUUGCAUGCCAGGAGAAGAGAGUGUGCAGGGAGCUGCAGGUGAGGCAACAGGAUAGCAUCUUUGUCUCCCUGAUAACAGUGAUGGAGCACCUGGCUGCAUGUGUGGAAAAGGCCUCCUCCCAGAACCCUGUCCGCCCCAAUCAAAAUAACUUUCCUUUCUCUCCAUCUUCAUAGCUAGGCCGUGGUGUGUGUGUGCGGGGAGGGAGGGGGAUGGGGGUAUGGGACUCAAGGACAGCCUUAUCCUCCAGGACCUUGGAAAGCAAAAAGUUGUUCUUUGCAUGUUUCUGUGCCCCCUCCCUUCUUUGGGUCCUCACUUCUUUUGUUUCCCUGCUGUUUUCCCUAAAUAAAAAUGCAUGAU
This is a non-coding RNA of Pelodiscus sinensis (Chinese soft-shelled turtle), 806 nucleotides long. The record is from RefSeq and is a predicted model, not a curated record. Lineage: Eukaryota; Metazoa; Chordata; Testudines; Trionychidae.